This 496-nucleotide ribosomal RNA is filed under the name uncultured bacterium. Its description in RNAcentral is "partial 16S ribosomal RNA". It matches the Rfam family "Bacterial small subunit ribosomal RNA", at positions 29 to 507 of the family's 1533-position model. The record is from RNAcentral.
AUGAACGCUGGCGGCGUGCCUAAUACAUGCAAGUCGAGCGAACAGACGAGGAGCUUGCUCCUCUGACGUUAGCGGCGGACGGGUGAGUAACACGUGGAUAACCUACCUAUAAGACUGGGAUAACUUCGGGAAACCGGAGCUAAUACCGGAUAAUAUAUUGAACCGCAUGGUUCAAUAGUGAAAGACGGUUUUGCUGUCACUUAUAGAUGGAUCCGCGCCGCAUUAGCUAGUUGGUAAGGUAACGGCUUACCAAGGCAACGAUGCGUAGCCGACCUGAGAGGGUGAUCGGCCACACUGGAACUGAGACACGGUCCAGACUCCUACGGGAGGCAGCAGUAGGGAAUCUUCCGCAAUGGGCGAAAGCCUGACGGAGCAACGCCGCGUGAGUGUUGAAGGUCUUCGGAUCGUAAAACUCUGUUAUUAGGGAAGAACAAAUGUGUAAGUAACUAUGCACGUCUUGACGGUACCUAAUCAGAAAGCCACGGCUAACUACGUG